RNAcentral lists this ribosomal RNA (395 nucleotides) under uncultured bacterium. RNAcentral's name for it is "partial 16S ribosomal RNA". It matches the Rfam family "Bacterial small subunit ribosomal RNA", at positions 523 to 918 of the family's 1533-position model. The record is from RNAcentral.
AUACGUAGGGUGCAAGCGUUAAUCGGAAUUACUGGGCGUAAAGCGUGCGCAGGCGGUUUUGUAAGACAGAGGUGAAAUCCCCGGGCUCAACCUGGGAACUGCCUUUUUGACUGCAAGGCCAGAGUACGGCAGAGGGGGAUGGAAUUCCGCGUGGUGCAGUGGAAUGCGUAGAUAUGCGGAGGAACACCGAUGGCGAAGGCAAUCCCCUGGGCCUGUACUGACGCUCAUGCACGAAAGCGUGGGGAGCAAACAGGAUUAGAUACCCUGGUAGUCCACGCCCUAAACGAUGUCAACUGGUUGUUGGGUCUUCAUUGACUCAGUAACGAAGCUAACGCGUGAAGUUGACCGCCUGGGGAGUACGGCCGCAAGGUUGAAACUCAAAUGAAUUGACGGGG